RNAcentral lists this microRNA (21 nucleotides) under Physcomitrium patens. RNAcentral's name for it is "ppt-miR1069-3p". The record is from miRBase by way of RNAcentral. Lineage: Eukaryota; Viridiplantae; Streptophyta; Bryopsida; Funariales; Funariaceae.
UGAUAAAUCAAAGUGCUCACU